GGCAUCCUCUUCUAACUUCUGAGUAUGUAAGAACAGAGAGAAAGAAAAACUCAGUAGGCACUUUCACUUGUGAUUUAGGGUGAUUUGGAGUUGGAUUUUGAAUAUGUUGAAGUUGAAGAAAAGAUAGACGAAGGCAUUAUUUCAUCACUUUUUGGAGUCAUUUAGAGCUUCAGGAGUACGAUUUGCCUAGCGAAGUGAGCUAUGAAGUUGAAGAUCAAGGUAAAAUAAUUAAUCUUAGUAGCAAACAAGGAGGAGAUGACGUGAUUGAAGAAAUUGUGUUUCCAUCUUUGCUGUCCCUUUUGAGGUGAUGAUCAGAUACAUGCAAGUGCUAUUUUCAUACUUUUGAUAGCAGAAAGAAAAAUCCGUGUGUAAUAUUGAUGUUCAUAUGAUAAUAGGUUGACUCUGUUCAUAUAGUACUGGUGACGGAUAUUUAUUCAAACUAUUUGGACUCUUAAUUGCAUUCGCAAACACAUUCAUAUUAGAGCUAAGGUAUAAAAUGACGCCGUAAUUUUGUUAAUAUUUUUUAUAUUGAUGUACUGCCAUGCCGCUGCAAAUAUUAUUAUUUGUAAAUAAAUGAAUUUUAUCGUAUGAUAUGGAAAACAUUAUAUCAUGCCGUAAGAAAUUAGAUAUUUUACUCAUAUGAUAUUAAAAUGUUAUUAUCGUAAUAUUAUGUUUAGUGGUUGUUUGGAUAGCGAGUACUUACCCUCAGUUUUGUCAUAACCUGUUGUAAGAAAAUUAUGUAGAAAACCAUAUUUUAUUAAUAGUCGUUUUUCCAGAAGCGAAGUUUUUGCAUGUUGCGAGAACUAUUUUAGGAUAUUUAUGGGGUAGUUAAAGAAAAGCAAACAGAGUUUUAGUUUGUUACGCUCGUAGACAAGUUUGAGAAAAAUAGAUCUUUAAAUACCCAUUAACCAAACAACCCCUUAAAGUCUAAGCAAAUGAUUCUAAAAACAAACCGGAUAUUUAUAAUACGGCUACUAAAUGUUCAGUUACUAAUUAUUUGAAAUGUAAACAUGUAUGUUGGUUAGGUACUAUGGAAAAUUUAGUAGUGUACUAUGGGAACGUCUUACGCGACGGUCCAUGCGGGGUGGAUGUGUCCUUCUAUGAGUCGACUACAGUUGUGGUGAGAGACAUGGUCAACGUGGGUUACGCAGCUGUUAGAAGGUGCAUCCGAGCGGUGUUUGGCCCAGUGAUGCAGGAAAAAAAAUGACAAUGGAGGCCUUCAUCGUUGAUGGAGGAAAUGAUGGGACAGUUGCCCGUUGGGGUUUGCGGCCUGUCACAGAUGAUCGGUCAUGGGGGUCGUACAUGAGGUUUGCAAGCAAUCCCAAUAACUCAAUGUAUGGUCAGCCGAUGGUGUAUGUGGAGUUCAUUUCAGUCACUGAUGUUGCCGGAUGCAGUAGCAGGGGUGGUGAGGUCGAGUUGGCCAUCACAUCAGCCCCUAGCAUCGGCCCAUCGGAACCGACGGGCGGCCAUCCUGUGUAUGACACAGGAUAUUGGUCGGCGGCCGUUAUAUCCGCCACCCAUUUUUCCCGCAAAUGCUUUCCCCUCAAUAUUUUCCCGCAAACGCUUUCCCUUCAUAUGUUCCGCCACCCAUUUCCCGACAAUGCUUUCCCGCCAUAUGUCCCCGCCACUCGUUUCCCGCCAUAUGUUCCCGCCAACCCUUUCCCGCCAUACUGCACUCGUUCUUUCCCGCCAUUUUCUCCUCUCUACCUAUAAAACCCCCUUCAGACGGAGGUGGAUAAGCAUUCGA
This is a long non-coding RNA of Triticum aestivum (bread wheat), 1747 nucleotides long. RefSeq lists it as uncharacterized. The record is from RefSeq and is a predicted model, not a curated record. The transcript has 3 exons. NCBI's taxonomy places the organism in Eukaryota, Viridiplantae, Streptophyta, Magnoliopsida, Poales, Poaceae.